Molecule: ribosomal RNA, 248 nt
Filed under: uncultured Ruminiclostridium sp.
Lineage: Bacteria; Bacillati; Bacillota; Clostridia; Eubacteriales; Oscillospiraceae
Description: partial 16S ribosomal RNA
Rfam family: Bacterial small subunit ribosomal RNA
Source: RNAcentral
UACGUAGGAUGCGAGCGUUAUCCGGAUUUACUGGGUGUAAAGGGCGUGUAGGCGGGACUGCAAGUCAGAUGUGAAAACCAGAGGCUCAACCUCUGGCCUGCAUUUGAAACUGUUUUUCUUGAGUACUGGAGAGGCAGACGGAAUUCCUAGUGUAGCGGUGAAAUGCGUAGAUAUUAGGAGGAACACCAGUGGCGAAGGCGGUCUGCUGGACUGUAACUGACGUUGAGGCUCGAAAGCGUGGGGAGCAA